Long non-coding RNA from Mauremys mutica (yellowpond turtle), 1357 nucleotides. RefSeq lists it as uncharacterized. The transcript has 4 exons. The record is from RefSeq and is a predicted model, not a curated record. Lineage: Eukaryota; Metazoa; Chordata; Testudines; Geoemydidae.
AGGUGCAGGGCAGGGGCAACUUCAGAGACCCAUGUUGCUUUGCUGCAGGGGACUUGAGGACUGAGAGAGAAUUAUGAUUCACAUACAUGAGCUUGAGGAGGAACCUCUUUGGAGUUUUCUCCUGCCCUACUACUGAUUUUGUAGUCCCUGUUUAGAAGGCUCUGCACAAGAACUUGGCAGACCUCCUAGCUGCCAUGCUAGGACUCUCUGGCAGAGUCCGCGGACACAGACAGGCUCCAAUACAUCUUGGAGCACAGUUCCUCAAGAUGGGAAACCUCGUGGCUCAUCUGGGUCUGUUCAUCAGUGACCCAGGCAAGGACAUCAGCCAGCAGGCCAGAGAGGGGAUUUACUGGCUCUACCAACUGCUGCUACACCAGAAAGGUAGUGUCACCUGAAGAUAAUCAAGCAUCUCUGGAAAGGGUGAUCUCUUCUGUCCAAAAUAAGUUAACCACUAACUCCAGUAGCAGAGGAUGGCAGGCAUGUGUUACAAAGGUCAGUCAAUGGACACUGAAGUUCUCCAAGAUGAACUUAAUGUCUGGGUUUCUCAGAAGAGUUUAUGGGAGCUCAGUGUUAAGCUCCCUCUGACAUUCAGUGAGAAUUGGGUGCCGAGGGCCCAAAUCCUCAAAGCAAAGAAGUGAGAGAGCUGCUGCAGAAGACUUGAAGCCUGGAGCAGGCUUGCUAAAUGAGCCAGCGAGAGAUAUCUGGGGAAGGUUCCUCACAGGAGAGCUGAAGUGGUUUUGGAGUGGGGGGUAGGGAAGUCUGAUUCUGAGAAGCUGCCAGGGACUCAGCUGUGAGCAAGGCAGCUGCAAGCCAAACCCAGCAUGGGUCACCUCAAAAGAAGUGAUAUGAGAGACUCUGUGAAGAAAUCUUUUUUGCCCACCCAGGCUCUGAGGUAAGAGCCAUGCCCUGGGACAGGCUUUUUGGGACUCUGAAUGAUUGGGGAAUUUCUCCUUUUAAGUUUGUUUUUGGGUCCCCUUCUCCCUCCCUAAGGGAGGGACCCAAACAGGCUCUGUGUUGAUGAAACAAACCUUCCUUGUCAUUUUUUUUGGAUUCUUAUUACGGAAAACCAUCUCCAUAGACUCUUCUGGGAGGGGAGGUGGUAGGGUUGAGUGGGGAGGAUACCCCUCUGUCAGCCUCUUACAAGCCCCUGUUGGUUUCAAUAUGAGUUAGGUGCCUAAAUGCCCCUGAAGGAUCUGGGCCUAACUCUUUGCAAUUCCCGCCAAAACUCUUUACAUGGGAUCUCUUCCACCCCUGAAUGAGGGGGACACUGUCAAUGGGACUUUUAGAUUGUAAUGAUGGGCUAACCUCAAAAGAGCUGGAGGCUGGAAUAGAAGCCAAACUUAUGCAGGAAAAAGAG